RNAcentral lists this ribosomal RNA (975 nucleotides) under Perenniporia contraria. RNAcentral's name for it is "eukaryotic LSU rRNA". It matches the Rfam family "Eukaryotic large subunit ribosomal RNA", at positions 24 to 978 of the family's 3401-position model. The record is from RNAcentral. Lineage: Eukaryota; Fungi; Basidiomycota; Agaricomycetes; Polyporales; Polyporaceae.
ACCCCGCUGAAACUUAAGCCAUAUCAAUAAGCGGAGGAAAAGAAACCUAACAAGGAUUCCCCUAGUAACUGCGAGUGAAGCGGGAAAAGCUCAAAUUUAAAAUCUGGCGGUCUUUGGCCGUCCGAGUUGUAGUCUGGAGAAGUGCUUUCCGCGCUGGACCGUGUAUAAGUCUCUUGGAACAGAGCGUCAUAGAGGGUGAGAAUCCCGUCUUUGACACGGACUACCAGUGCUUUGUGAUGCGCUCUCGAAGAGUCGAGUUGUUUGGGAAUGCAGCUCAAAAUGGGUGGUAAAUUCCAUCUAAAGCUAAAUAUUGGCGAGAGACCGAUAGCGAACAAGUACCGUGAGGGAAAGAUGAAAAGCACUUUGGAAAGAGAGUUAAACAGUACGUGAAAUUGCUGAAAGGGAAACGCUUGAAGUCAGUCGCGUCUGCCGGAACUCAGCCUUGCUUUGGCUUGGUGCAUUUUCCGGUAGACGGGCCAGCAUCGAUUUUGACCGUCGGAAAAGGGCUAGAGAAAUGUGGCACCUUCGGGUGUGUUAUAGUCUCUGGUCGCAUACGGCGGUUGGGAUCGAGGAACGCAGCGCGCCGCAAGGCAGGGGUUCGCCCACUUUCGCGCUUAGGAUGCUGGCGUAAUGGCUUUAAACGACCCGUCUUGAAACACGGACCAAGGAGUCUAACAUGCCUGCGAGUGUUUGGGUGGUAAACCCGAGCGCGUAAUGAAAGUGAAAGUUGAGACCUCUGUCGUGGAGGGCAUCGACGCCCGGACCUGACGUUCUCUGAAGGAUCCGCGGUAGAGCAUGUAUGUUGGGACCCGAAAGAUGGUGAACUAUGCCUGAAUAGGGUGAAGCCAGAGGAAACUCUGGUGGAGGCUCGUAGCGAUUCUGACGUGCAAAUCGAUCGUCAAAUUUGGGUAUAGGGGCGAAAGACUAAUUCGAAACCCCUAGUCAGCUGGUUCCUGCCGAAGUUUCCCCUCAGGA